AAGGCCCCAGAGACCAGGGGCGCCGGUGCAGGGCCUGUCUGCUCCUGCCUGGCAGAGGCGGGGAACACGAUGGCAGCGGCGGCGGGAGGAGCAAAGGCUUUGGAGAGAGAAUAAAGAACCGCGGAGGCGCCUGCCCACCUCCAGCAGCAGUGGCAGCGGCGGCGGCGGCGGCGGCAGGCAGUGAAGCUCUUCUCGUCUUCGCUGGGCUGGGGCAGUAUACCCAAACUCGGCUUUGCCAGGCCCUGCAUAUCUCCAGAAGGAAAUGGAAGAACACGGAUCAGCGCUUGGUGACUCAGGAGACCUUGGCAUCCCUGCUUUAUACUCCCCGUAAGCUCCUCACAGAUCCCUUCACCCCGGAUCCUCCAUCACAAAUCUUAUCAACUCUCCCAGCGUCUCCGGGUGGGGAUGGAAGAGUAGGAUGGGUGUAGAAAAAGUCGAAAGUAACUCCCACCAGCUCAGUCUUCAUUACUGCCUAAAGGGAGGCCACUUCCACAGAGCCAACAGUACCCUGCCUGUCACUCACCCGUAAGUAAGCCCUCCUCUUCCUUUAGUUCCAGCAAGCAAAGCCCACCCAAGGCUGCCUUGAGCCCAGAAAUGAGACAAGUCCAUUCCUGUAGCCAACUUCCUACUAGAGCUCCCUGGCAUGGAAGAGAGCCUUUCCCUACCUGGGCAGGCCCUUCUCUGGGCAAGAAGCAGUAGGAUAACAAGCAGCCUCCAGCUCUAGCAGCCUCCAGCCCGGACCUGCCUUGGGGCGGAGCCGGCAAAGGACUCUGGGUGGAGUAGCAGAGCAGUAGAGAACCUGGAGUCCAAAGGGAGAGCCACCUCCCCUUCAGCAGAAGGAAUGUGGGGGAGGUGAGAAGGAACUGUGGCCAUGGGAGUCUAAGUGUCGCCUGGAGGGCAGUCCUUCCAACAGUCUAGGGACUGUCACAACAUCCUAGGCAAUCCCAGUGCCAGAAGCCAGCCUUACGAGCUCAUGCCGCUCUGCCUUGGGACCUGGAGCUCUUCUACUCUGUCCUUCUAAAGGCCUGGGACAGCUGAUCUAGCAGAGAGUAAGGUCAGAACGUGUCUGGCUAGCUCAGGCCUGACAGUAUAGUCACCGAGACCCCAGCUUCAGAGUUGGGAAGGGCCAGGCUAGUCAGCUGCCAGGUUCAAUCAACCCUGGCCCCCUGCCCUGUCCUUGUGCCAGGUACUGGCUGGAAUAGACAACACUUCCUUUCUCUGCUCCUGGCUCUUAGUGGGGAAGUACAGGUCCCCAGCCAAGCUUGUGUCUCUCCUGGGGGCUUCAGAGAAGGGCCAGUUCAAUUUUCUCUAGCAAUGGGGUGAGGAUAAUAAUGGGCCUAUGCUCAGUAAAAGGAUUCUCCACUUCCCUGACAAAACUUUAUCAGAGUGAGUGGUCCCUUUCCAGAAGGAGCAGCAGCCACUCCUGCCCACAGGUGAUGCAAAGGGAAGGGCACAUACCUGCCCCAGCUAUGCCAGGAAUGUGGCUCCCCAGGCAGAGGACCGGAGGAGCCUUUCUGGGGUGGGGGAGGGGCUGGCUGGCAGGGGGGUGUUCCUGGAGUGAACAAGAGGUCAGGAGUAGCCCAGACUUCACCCAGUUCUCAGUGGGGGAGGGGUAGAGUAGGCGUCCUGGGGGAAGAACUGGAAGUCAGGUUGGUGGGUUGAGCUUGCUGAGGAUCUAGGAUGAGGUUGAUAAGCCUCAGAUCACCUACAGAUCAGGAAAUGGAGCCACCUUCAGAGGUGUAGGCAAGAGAUGUCUCAGUUCCAUCCUAGAUCCUAAGUUCUGACGCCUCCUUGGGUGUUCUGACAACUCACCCUGCGGCACUCUGGUCUGCUUUCAAAACAGAUUCUACGGAACAUUUCAGGCUUCUUAAUAGUGGGGCCCAGGCGUCGUGCCCUACGCCCCCCCUGUACCUCUCACACACCUUAAAGCACCUCUUCAGCCUCCCUGGCUCUAUCUACUACUUAAGAGUCUUCAGUCCCAUAUCUGUCAUCCUGCGCCUUCCCUUCCCACUCCUGGGCUCUGGUUAAAUGCUGGUCUCUGAGUCUUAGGAGCGAAGUAUUCCUAGGGUCAGCCACGCACAAGUGCACAGGAGGGAGGCCUCCUUUCCAUGGUUCUUCUUCCCAGCGGUCCUGCUCCAGAUGGGCUCUGCCAGCACCAAAGCCAGAGGGUAGCAUGGGCAUCGGUGGCUUUGAUGAGAGGCUAAACCUUGUUCUGUAUAGGCUGAACACCCUACCCUGACCUCUGAUCUCAGGGGAAGUCCUCAGUUACUGAGUCACAGACCCUCAAGCUACUAGAUACACCCGGCUAUUAAUGAUUCACCCUCUUAAUCUUGUAGGGACAAAGGACUAUGGUUCCUCCUCAGCCCCCUAAACACCCCAAGUUGACAUAUCUAUCUUUGGCCUCACAUACACAUCUCCCCCACUUUUCCUGCCCCCCAGUUUCCCAGAGCACGAGCUUCCAUAGUACUAGAAUCUCUGGUUCUUCUCUAGUUAGGGUCUCAGAGCCCAGAAGCGGCCAAACCUGGCUGAGAGGCCACAGGGCUCCAUUCCGGCCCUGCCCCUCCUAUACUGAUUUCCCUAAGACCAGCAUAGAGACAGGGUUCCAGAGAUACCGCUCAAGUGUCAAGCCAGCAUCAAAGUAGAAAGAGACAGGCCAUUUAAGUCUUCCGGCAAACACAUCACAUCAGAGGACCAGAGGUCGUGACCCUUGCCAUUGCUCUGAAAAGGAAGUUUCAGUCCCCAGCCCUACAACCCUUCCAGCCAGCCAUGAGGUAACAGAGUGCAGUAGUAGCAAGGAAAAAAAGCAUUCGUUACCACAUUUACCCCCAAAGGUGUCAGCCACCAACUGGGGGUGUACUGAAGAAGAGAGAGGGGAGACCUGGAUGGCAAGGUAAUUCUGUUCACCUUCAAGAGGAUGGCAGUAUAAUCCCACAAACUGUGUGCCUCUGGAACACACAGGAGAGUUCUCCACCUUCCAAUCCCCUGUGCCUAGCCAAUCCAACCAGAUGUUUAGAGGUCUGUAGGAAUAAGUGGUAUGCAUUUACCUGCUCCCAGUUUCCAUAGAAAAGGAUCUUUGAAGGGGGAGUGUAGAGUGCUGAGGGAAAAAGGAAGACAAAGCAGAGACACCUGUCUGUUUUCAGGACAGCAGCCUUUUUGUUUAUGGCUCCAAGACCAAACAAAGAGCUAACAUCAGAGCUUGGGGUUUUUCAAUCUGUGUGGCUAGAGAAGGAGCUAGGAGCAAUAACGCAUCACAGGUAGGCGGCGGGGUGAUGGUUUACUCUCCUGCCCACGGCAAGCUCUCCUCUGCACCCCACCCUGAUCCCAUAAAUUUCUGUCACUAUCAGCAAGCCACUGGCCCUUAAAGGAACACUCUCACCACGCACCUUCUACACAGAACUCCACCUCUUCCAGGUUCCGCAAAGUGAUCCGCAUAAGGCUGGAGUUGAGCAUCAACUCAUUCUUGUGGGCUGGCCACAGGUAGGGUGGUGCUGGGUUCACAAAGAAGAUUCUAGUGUCCCCGGUGGACACCUGGUUGUCGCAGAUGAGGGGGUCUCCAAAGCCACCAAUUACCACCUUGUUGCCACCAUCCAGCAGGCUCUCUUGGGCCACCACAUCUUUGCCUUUCAAGUACCGCCACACUCGAACCUGAGCGGACAUGGAAGUAAAAGUGUAUUGGUCCUAUGAGGACAGGGUUGCAGGCUGGACACCUGGACCCUUCCCCCUCUCUGGUCUCACUAGCUCAAGCCAAUGUGCACAGUGAACCCCAGCCUUGGGCAGAGAUGUUCCAAGGCUGCAGUGCAGUAGACACCUACUGGAUUCAGGAUGACAUAAGAAGGCUAACAAUCAUCUAACCAUCUAACAAUUGUCCCACCUCAGGUCUAUCCAGCCCAAGUCCAACUCUAAGGGUCCAGUCAGGACCAGACACUUUAGGUGAAAGGACUUAAGAGCAAGAUCCCAGCUGGGAUCUUCACAGCCUUGUGUGGGCCAACACCUCUCCCAGGAAGUAAAGACCCACUUCUUUGCUCCAUAGUCUGCCUGAGUCUGUGCAGCGAGGCAGCUCUGAGCCACAAAGUCAAGUUUGGGCAAUGCAAGUCAGCCCCACCCUCCACCUCCUUAUUUAGGGCCCCGAGGGCACCCUUUCUGACAGACAUGGCUGGAAGAUGUAGCCCGCAGCGCCCACAGGAUAAGUCCAGGGCCCCCAGACACUUUUUGGAAAGGAUUUCUAGGAAGGAGCCCCUUAUUGAGGCGCUCUGGGGAUUUGGGGUUCUGGAAUGGAGGGAGCAAAAAAGACAAUGGGCAGCUUUUCCACCUGCCUAGCUCCUGCGAGACACCUAAGACUUGCAGCACCUAAAGAACUUUAUCUACCUGCGCCCCCCACCCCCAACUAUUGUGGGAGAUAACCCAAAGGGGGAAAGCUCACAGUUCUCACACCUCCCCCACCCCAGCCACACCCAGGAGCAGCGGGGAGGAAGUCGGGAAAAUCCUGCAGGGACUUGGCAAAGUGCCUCGGCAGGGAGAGGAGGGGGCCCAGCGGGGGGAUCCCAUGAACACACGGUACUCUGAAGGAAGUCACCAUCCUUCUCAUUCCCAAAGAGUAAGAACAAAUCCUGUUUCCAGCGAAGCGAUUUGAGGGACGAGGAGAACCAGCAACGGAUAUUCCGAGGGUAUCGACCCCAUACCUAUUCCAAGGUGCUCUCAAAUUCAGCUGCAGUUGAAACAGAGCUAAUUCUACCGUA
Molecule: long non-coding RNA, 4736 nt
Organism: Mus musculus (house mouse)
Lineage: Eukaryota; Metazoa; Chordata; Mammalia; Rodentia; Muridae
Product: predicted gene, 46878
Exons: 3
Source: RefSeq, a predicted model, not a curated record